CCUACGGGGGGCUGCAGUCGAGAAUCAUUCGCAAUGGGCGAAAGCCUGACGGUGCGACGCCGCGUGGAGGAUGAAGGCCCUAGGGUCGUAAACUCCUGUCAUCAGGGAGUAAAGACUCGUGUAGUCACUGACACGGGUCCUGAUAGUACCUGAAGAGGAAGGGACGGCAAACUUCGUGCCAGCAGCCGCGGUAAUACGAAGGUCCCAAGCGUUGUUCGGAUUUACUGGGCGUGAGAAGUCUGUAGGCGAAGCCCGGGGCUCAACCCCGGAACUGCAUCCGAUACUGCCUUGCUAGAGGAUUGGAGGGGAGUCUGGAAUGCUCGGUGUAGCAGUGAAAUGCGUAGAUAUCGGGAGGAACACUAGUGGCGAAGGCGAGACUCUGGACAAUUACUGACGCUGAGAGACGAAGGUCAGGGGAGCGAAAAGGAUUAGAUACCCCAGUAGUC
Molecule: ribosomal RNA, 446 nt
Filed under: uncultured bacterium
Lineage: Bacteria
Description: partial 16S ribosomal RNA
Rfam family: Bacterial small subunit ribosomal RNA
Source: RNAcentral